CACGUAGUUAGCCGGUCCUUAUUCCCCACCUACCGUCAACCCGGAGAAAACCCCGGGCCUGCGUGAGUGGUAAAAGAGGUUUACAACCCGAAGGCCGUCAUCCCCCACGCGGCGUCGCUGCGUCAGGCUUUCGCCCAUUGCGCAAGAUUCCCCACUGCUGCCUCCCGCAGGAGUCUGGGCCGUGUCUCAGCCCCAGUGUGACCGGUCGCCCUCUCAGGCCGGCUACCCGUAAUCGCCUUGGUAGGCCUUUACCCCACCAACAAGCUGAUAGGCCGCGAGCCCAUCCCUGACCGAAAAAACUUUCCACCCUCGGGCAUGCACCCGGGGGUCGUAUCCGGUAUUAGACGGCGUUUCCACCGCUUAUCCCGGAGUCAGGGGCAGGUUGCUCACGUGUUACUCACCCGUUCGCCGCUCGUGUACCCCGAAGGGCCUUACCGCUCGACUUGCAUGUGUUAAGCACGCCGCCAGCGUCGUCCUGAGCCAGGAUCAAAACUCU
RNAcentral lists this ribosomal RNA (496 nucleotides) under uncultured Nocardiopsis sp. Its description in RNAcentral is "partial 16S ribosomal RNA". Lineage: Bacteria; Bacillati; Actinomycetota; Actinomycetes; Streptosporangiales; Nocardiopsidaceae. The record is from RNAcentral.